RNAcentral lists this ribosomal RNA (490 nucleotides) under uncultured bacterium. RNAcentral describes it as "partial 16S ribosomal RNA". It matches the Rfam family "Bacterial small subunit ribosomal RNA", at positions 30 to 507 of the family's 1533-position model. The record is from RNAcentral.
AUUGAACGCUGGCGGCAGGCCUAACACAUGCAAGUCGAACGGUAACAGGAAGCAGCUUGCUGCUUUGCUGACGAGUGGCGGACGGGUGAGUAAUGUCUGGGAAACUGCCCGAUGGAGGGGGAUAACUACUGGAAACGGUAGCUACUACCGCAUAACGUCGCAAGACCAAAGAGGGGGACCUUAGGGCCUCUUGCCAUCGGAUGUGCCCAGAUGGGAUUAGCUAGUAGGUGGGGUAACGGCUCACCUAGGCGACGAUCCCUAGCUGGUCUGAGAGGAUGACCAGCCACACUGGAACUGAGACACGGUCCAGACUCCGACGGGAGGCAGCAGUGGGGAAUAUUGCACAAUGGGCGCAAGCCUGAUGCAGCCAUGCCGCGUGUAUGAAGAAGGCCUUCGGGUUGUAAAGUACUUUCAGCGGGGAGGAAGGGAGUAAAGUUAAUACCUUUGCUCAUUGACGUUACCCGCAGAAGAAGCACCGGCUAACUCCGUG